AUUGCACGCUGGCGGCAGGCCUACCACAUGCAAGUCGAGCGAGCGGCGGCCGGGUGCGUCAUGUCGGGGAAAAUGCCUGAUGGCGGGGGAUAACUACUGGAAACGGUAGCUAAUACCGCAUACCAUCCGAUUUGCCAAGAUGGGAUUAGCUAGUCGUUGGGGUAACGGCUCACCUCGGCGACGAUCCCUAGCUGGUCUGAGAGGAUGACCAGCCACACUGUAACUGAGACACGGUCCAGACGCCUACGGGAGGCAGCAGUGGGGAAUAUUGCACAAGGGGGGAAAGCCUGAUGCAGCCAUGCCGCGUGUGUGAAGAAGGCCUUCGGGUUGUAAAGCACUUUCAGCGGGGAGGCGUUACCCGCAGAAGAAGCACCGGCUAACUCCGUGCCAGCAGCCGGGGUAAUGC
This 406-nucleotide ribosomal RNA is filed under the name uncultured bacterium. Its description in RNAcentral is "partial 16S ribosomal RNA". It matches the Rfam family "Bacterial small subunit ribosomal RNA", at positions 30 to 526 of the family's 1533-position model. The record is from RNAcentral.